This 2951-nucleotide long non-coding RNA is filed under the name Homo sapiens (human). RNAcentral describes it as "HSALNT0385723". The record is from RNAcentral. Lineage: Eukaryota; Metazoa; Chordata; Mammalia; Primates; Hominidae.
GCGGCAGCAGGGUUGGGCUCUCGCCGUGAGUCGACGAAGGGAGCGCGGGCGCGCGCCCGCGUCCGCGCACUGAGAGUCGCCUCGGCCGCUCGCUUUCUCGACUCCCGCCUCGCGCCUCGAUCCUGUUCCGCCUCCCUCGGCCCUCCUGCCCGCCCCCACUCGUCGGCCCUCAGGUACCUAAAAUGUCUCAUUAUUCAUCAAUUAAUGAAAAACAAAUGAAAAUUUGAGAGAGAUAUUCUGAAGAAUAAAAGGAUCAAGUUGGGUCAUUUCUAAAAUCUCAGAGACCUAAUAGGAUGGGGUCUUAGAGAAACAUCUUUUGAGCCACAGACUUCUUUGUUACCAGAAGGAAAAUGAAAGAAGAAAUUUAAAUACCACUUGAAGAGAGAGAGUGUGAAGAAAUGACCCUGAAAAGCCUCUGGCAGAGGAUUCUUCUUUCAGGAUGGUGUCGCCUCCUCAGCAGCCCAUCCUCCUCCCCUGGACUCAAGCUCUCAUUCCAGUAACACUCCUUCCUCCUUCUCCAUCUUCAGGGGGAGGUUUGCCAGUCGGUGGGUUCUAAGCAUAUCUCGCUGAUUCCCCCCAACCCUGCCGACACCUCUGUAGGUCGUCCCUUCAUUAAAAUCUCUCCAUUUGAACUAUCUGAGUUUAAUUCCAUUUCCUCCUGGUAUCUCAGUGAUACACGGUAUCAGUACAAAAAUCUCGCUUCACCUUCAGAACCAACAGAUUUGAGACAUUUUAUCCUCUGUGGAACCAUUAGUUAUUUUGUCAUUGGUUGUAUCAGAAAAAAAAAUCAGGAAUGCAAAUCCUUCUUUAUUACAGAUUCAGAUUUGCAUAUUACCAAUGUUAUAUAUUUUAAACAAAACUAUUCAUCAUAAGUUUUAAAAAUUAACUACUGGAGUAGUUAAUGAAUCUGAAUGUAAUUAUGUAGCUUUCAUAAUAUUAAAGUAAAAAUACUAAAAGAAGUAUUUCUUAAAGAAGCAAAUGCUCAAUCUCCAAGUAAAUUUUAUUCUAUGCUCUUCCGGUAUAAGAAUAUGUUAAUAUCUUGAAAAAUAUCAUAUUAUUUUGUGAACUCAUAAAGCUAUUUUGAGUUUUUGUAAAAUGAAAACCUUACCAAAAUGUAUUUUAUUGUUGGAAAGCUUGACCGUUACUGCUGUUUAAUUUUUUGAGCUUGUAAACUUUAUUUGUGCAUGUUUUCAACAAAGAAGGAUUUUAUUGUUAUUACAUAAAACAGGUGAUUUCUAGAUUUUAAAAUCACAAAUUGAAAGCAAGGCACAAUAAUAUAUAUUUCAAGAUAUAGGUACUUAGGAGGCAUCCUUUUAGUCAUCUGUUCAAUGUAGCCAUCUAUUUUACACCUACUGUCUACUAUUGUUUGAGGUCCUUGCCAAAGUAUUGCAGGCUAGUUAGGAAACAUAAAACAAUUAGAAAGUAAUCUAUGACAAGUAAGCUAUCUAUAAAUGGCAAUGAAGGGUAGAACAAAUUCAAUGAAAAUAUCUAUUUAAUCCUAGUGUUUACUGGUCUAGAAGAAUAGGCUGAGUAAAUUAGUAUUUCUCUGGCUGUUGUGGUAACACAUUGCAUGCUAUAACAGUUUUAAGUAAUUACAGGUGCAUUGAAAUUUAUCUAUGGCUUUGUCAUCAUAUUCUAAAAUGUCAUGAGUACUUUUUUCUGACCUCAAUUACUAUGAAAUUGGUUUCCAAUAUUUAAUUAACCAAGAAUAUCAAGUCUAUAGGGUAUUAUUAAGGUGAGACUUCUGUAGCCUUUUCAAUAAAGACCAGAAUUUUGGAGUGCCUUGAACCUUAAUCAUUGAUCUUUAAUUCUUAUUAAGUCAACUGCCCACCUUUUAAAGACUGAGGCCCAGGAAGAGUAAGUUUCUCUGAGACAAUGCAUACAGUACAGUGCUUCUUGGGUAUUGGCUCUAAGACCAGAUGCAAAGAAAGGCUAAAAUCCCAUUUCAUUGUUCAUUAGGUGAGAACCCUUUGUUAAGCUGUGUAACCUCUGUGCAUAGUUUCCUCAUCAGCAAAGUCAGAAAAAGUAUGUACCUGAAGGACUGAUUGUAAGGCUGGGAUGAGAGAAUCCAUGUGAUCAGCCCUCACCAACAGGUGCUGCCCAGUUCAUGAGUGCUGCUGCUGUCCUGCCCAAGUACCCAGCUUGCAGAGUGCCAGAGUUAGAGUCCCAGGGGUGUUCUCCACAGCUGCAUGCUUGAUCCAGGCCUAUCAGAUAUAUUCCAUUGAAAGUCCUCAUUCUCAAAUUUAAAACAAAGACUUUUUGUGUACCUCAAUAGCAAUGCACACACAGUUGGCUUCACAAACAUAUUGUACAUUUCUUUUUUUCAUAUUUAUUCAACAAAUGUAUAUUGACUACCCACCGUGUGACAGGUGUUAUUUGUUGACGGAACCAGGCAUCAUCAGCAAACAAAACUGACAAAGCUUCCUGCCCUCUGUGGAAGGCAUCUGAGGAAGAGACUGGAUUUUGUAGCAACAUGUUAUUCUCAUUAUAAACUUUAUCAUUGGAAUACUAAAGCCAAAUCAUCCCCCAUCUCCUUGAUCAGGAUACCCACUUAAUCUAGGCAGCUACACAAUUGUGAGAGCCUUUGUUUUUUUCUGCUGAAACAUCCUUAAAAAGAUACCUCACAACCCAAGAUUUGGCUUUUCUUAAAUACGAUUUUUAAUUUUUUUCAUUUCUAUCUAGAGAUUUAAUUGGAAAUGGAAAAUCAUCAAUUUUCCAAUUAAAUGUCUGUUCCAAUCAACAUUAUACCUUUUAGGUUGUCAUUGUCAUUUUUAAGUUUAAGCAACUUUAAGGAUUUUGAAUCUGGCUGCCUGUAAAUUAAAGGUGAAAGUAAUCAUUGUGUUGGAUUGGAACAUUUUGUCAAUUGAGAGUGGUUUCCUUGUUCUUAGUGUAUGAAAAGUUUAUUUUUCUAAUGUAGAUUAAUAAAGGAGAUAAAGAAAAACAAAAUGAGU